CUCAAGCCACAACUGCAAUUCACUCUGCCUUGCUAGUGUCGACAAACCGAGAGAGCGUGAGAGAGGCCGAGCUGCAUUCUGCAGCCGAGAGGAAGAAAAGAAACCGCAGGAUUGAAUGUUUUUGGUUCUGUCCGUCAGUCGGAGUGAAACCAGGGAGAGCAAGUGGAAGUCGGAGGAGCUGCUGAUCAUCACCAUUUUCGUUCACUUCAGACCACCAUUUCCAGCUGCAAAUCGAACCAGGACCAACCAGUGUUCGUGAGAGCCGAGAGGGAGCAGAAAUUUUCCAGAAUUUUUGCGUGAAAGCUUAGCUUGCUGUGAGGUAAAUUUCUGGAUCGUUUAAGGACUGAUCAGAGGUAGUUUGAGCUAUCUAGAGGCAUGCAUGUACUAUGGUACAAUCGGAUGAAUGAGAUUAAGCCAUUAGAAAAUUUCUGUUUUGAAUGUUGAUGUUUCUGCUGAGAAGUUGAGCCGAUAAUGCAGUUUUAUUUUCAUUUUUCUGGGACAUCUGAACACCUAAGUGACUUUAGCUGGACGAAAACUUGAAGUCUAAUACCAUGCAUGUUGAUUUGUGCAUUCGGAUGAUGUGGUAUAGUAUACAAAAAUUCUGUUUUGGGGCUAAACAUUCUGCCGAGUAGCUAUUUUAGAAAUGUAGCAUUAUUUCUGAUUUCCUGCGACAAUUUGAGUUUGAUUUAGUGUUUAACUAAUUAAUUACAAUAAGGAUAAGUCAGCUAGGGACAUGCAUGUUGAUGUUAGGCACUCGAAUGGGAAUUUUAAGAACAGAAUUUCUGUUGUGCGCAAGAAAUUUAGACUUGCCGUGAGCUUAAACCAGAAACGCAGCUGUAAUUUUGGUUAAUUGAUACACCAGAGCUUGCGAAUAUGAUUAACUCACUAAUAAGAAGGUAAUUAAGUCUUGCAUGAGGCUAAGUAGCUCGGCUAACCAAGGAAAUAAAAUGAGAACAGAAAAUCUAUGCAUGCAACUUCAUCCAUGACUAAUUGAACAGAAUUUCUGGUUUUCUUGGAUGAUUAGGGCUGUGUUUGAAUCCGAUUUUGAACUAGAAAUAUUGAUUAGCAAGUUAAAUAUUUGCAUGUUAAUUUUAAGCACCUAAUACCAUGAAUUAACCGAGGGAAAAGUUGGAUUUAGGACCAAUCUAAUUGCUGGAAAUCUAUUGAGUUGGCCGAGAGUUUGUCUUAGUAAUGUAGCUUCAUUUGAUUCAAUUUCGUUGUUUUGAGUUUGCAACCAUGAAUAACUAGUUAAUAACAUGAUAAUUGAGCUUUGCAUGUGGUUAAUUGGUGGGUUUAGAUCAGAAAAAUAAAACGAAACUGAAUCUGCUACAUGCAUGUUUCAUCCGAGACUUGUUGGAUGUUUCUGGAAAUUUUUAGAUGAUUUUGUGUUGAUGAUUGAAGUUGUUUUCUGAACUAGAUAUGUUAAUCAGUUAGUUAAGUAGUUGCAUGUUAAAUUUGAGACCAUAAUACUCUGUUUUAGCCAAGGAAAAAGUUGUGAUAAGGACAUACAAUUGCUGGAAAAAUGAUAUCCUAACUGAUGACAGAUUUAUGAGGACUUCUUGGUGGAAUAACUUGCUGGAAUUAUUUACCAUUUGACUCAUUCCAUGUUGGACAAAACGCAUGUUAAGUGUUUAGUGUUUAAAGCAAGAUAAGGAUGGAAAUCUUGUUGAAAAUUAUGAAGUAUCUUUGCUGGAAAUCUGUACGUGGUUGCUAGCCGUACUAGCUCAAGCUUUUAAUGAGUUUAUUUUUCUGGAUUCGUGUAUUAUUUGCUUUAGCUUAAGUUGAGCAGGGUAUAAGCUAUAUGUUUAGUGCAUCUAGCAAGUAAAAGAUGGAGAUCUAAUAGACAUCUUGAAUUGACAUUUGCUAGAAUUUUUCUUGACUAUCGAAGCAAGAAAGGAAAAUAUGAACUUCUAGAAUUAUUUGAAUGCAAGCUAGCCGUGACUUAUCUUCUAUAUUUGAGUUAAAAUUUCUGUUGUUUGUGGCAAAGGAUGUUUGUUUGAUACCAAGAGCUAAUGAUUGAUGAAGCUCUUGGCCACUUAAGUAAUUUUUGCAAGGGUUAAAUUCUUGGUGGAAUUGUUUAAGUGGUUUGGCCAAAAUGCAUUUGGAAGGUCCACGAUUUGUGAUUUGGAAUUGUUUUAAUACUUUGGACUUCCUUUGGUUGAUUUUGAUUAGAAUUGAAUCUGUUGAGACCUAGGGCAAAUGAUUGAUGAAGCCCUAGAGAAAUUGAUAUUUGGUUUGUGAUUUUUGUUUAUCUUGGUGACUUGGGAAUCCAUUGUGCAAAUGAGCUGAAUUUGUGAAGACCGUUUUGAUUAUUCUUGAUCUUGAAUAUUUUCAAAAUCAAAUUUUGUGGAAAUAUUCUGCCUUAAUAUCAAGUGAUAGAAUUGAGUUUAGUAUAUUAUUAAAACUUAGUUAUUUGGACUUUUAAAACCUUGCAGACUAGUUAAUUCCUUUAUUUUGCUUAAGCUAGUUUAUUAUCUUUAGGGAGUAAUCGUAUUUAACCUUCUAAAUUUUAAGCUUUCCUAAAACUAUCCUUGACUAGACGUUUUAAAGGAAAUUCGUUAAAAACAUUAGAUUUGAAUAAUUUCAAAUAAAAGACAAAGAAAACUUGUUUGAAUUAAUUUGGUUCUAGUUUGCCCUCUAGAAGGGAAAUACCUUUAAAGAAACCAUACGAGAUAUUUUAUUUCUUUACUAGCCUUAAUUCCAAGGGAAUGAUUGAUUUGUUUCGAGAAAUUAAAUUAGUUUUAUACAGGAUAACCUUUUAUAUACAAAACAAGAACUUGUUUAGUAAAACUUAUAGUUUUAAAACUUGGAUUUCUAGGGUGUAGCGAGGACGUGGACUUCGAUUCCCAGCUUGACUUUUGAGCUUCACUUUUGGUGAGUGUCCCUGCCUGUUUUAUGACUAUUUGGUUAAAGUGCUUUAUCGACUCGUUAUGUGAUAAUUGCCAAAAAUGAUUGCUGAUCCAUCGAAGUGAGCAGUGUGUACCUUAUCACACUAGCCUUUCGAGUGGUGACUUGCUUGAAGUGUUUUUCGUGAAUAUCUUGCUUGCGUUUGCUAAGUGAUAAAUUACUAGGCAGGGGAAUGUACCACACCAUAAGGGUGGGAGGGUUUCUUAUCUUGUUAUAACAAUCAAGUGCUGGACGUAAAGUCGUUGGGUGAAUCCCUCGAUCAGUCUAUAACAAUUAAGUGCUAGACGUAAAGUCGUUGGGUGAAUCCCUCGAUCAGUCUAUAUGCUAGACGUAAAGUCGUUGGGUGAAUCCCUCGAUCAGUCUAUAACAAUUAAGUGCUGGACGUAAAGUCGUUGGGUGAAUCCCUCGAUCAGUCUAUAACAAUCAAGUGCUGGACGUAAAGUCGGUGGGUGAAUCCCUCGAUCAGUCUAUAACAAUCAAGUGCUAGACGUAAUGUCGUUGGGUGAAUCCCUCGACCAGUCUAUAAAUAUAAGUGUUGGAUGUAAUGUCGUUGGGUGAAUCCCUCGACCAGUCUAAGGUAUACUUGAGUAUUAUUGCUUCCCUAUUUAUUUACUUCAGUCGAAUCAAUACGUGUUAAUUGUUUCGAGUGAUUGCAUGAUUUUGGGGCACCACUGAGCUUUAGCUCACCCCACGUUUAUUUGUUUUCCUUGACAGGUCUUGAGGUUUGAGAAAUCUGAGCUGCUUAUAUCUUCUUAAGAAUGUAUCUACUUCGUUUUGUGACUUGUAAUGUAUUUGAAUUUAAACGAUAUAGUUUUGUUUUGGGAUUGAAGCUGGAGAUGUGUAAACCCUGAUUAUAAUAUUUGGCUUGUAUGUGUAUAUAUACUCGGGCUGUAUGAAAUUUCAUGUUUUGGAAACUGUAAGACCUUACUUCUUGAAUGUAACGCGUGAGGUGUUUGGGA
This 3866-nucleotide long non-coding RNA is filed under the name Coffea arabica (coffee). RNAcentral describes it as "long non-coding RNA (CARA_LNC003252)". The record is from RNAcentral. Lineage: Eukaryota; Viridiplantae; Streptophyta; Magnoliopsida; Gentianales; Rubiaceae.